Molecule: ribosomal RNA, 301 nt
Filed under: Trypanosoma cervi
Lineage: Eukaryota; Euglenozoa; Kinetoplastea; Trypanosomatida; Trypanosomatidae
Description: SSU rRNA
Source: RNAcentral
CCCAUGCUCUAGGGGACCGUAAAACAUCAGAAACAAAAAUCACGGGAGCGGUUCCUUCCUGAUUUUCCCAUGGAAUGCAUGCAAGGGGGCGUCCGUGAUUUUUACUGUGACUAAGAAAGUGUGACCAAAGCAGUCAUUCGACUUGAAGUAGAAAGCAUGGGAAAAACAAAGGAGCAGCCUAUGGGCCACCGUUUCGGCUUUUGUUGGGUUUAAAAGUCCAUUGGAGAUUAUGGCGUCGUGCGACAAGCGUCUGGGUGAUUUCCCAUUUGGGGGUCCCGGCGGCCUUUGGGGGAAAACCGUG